This 122-nucleotide long non-coding RNA is filed under the name Papio anubis (olive baboon). Its description in RNAcentral is "lncRNA (ENSPANG00000050698.1)". Lineage: Eukaryota; Metazoa; Chordata; Mammalia; Primates; Cercopithecidae. The record is from RNAcentral.
UAAAUCCCAGUGAAAACUUCUGAGGAGACAUGGCAAAUACUAGAGGGAGGAAGAAGUCAUGAACAACUUGCUGGAUGAGAAAAGAAGAAGGACUGUGGAGAGGAGUCAAGGUCUGCAGUCAG